Molecule: ribosomal RNA, 492 nt
Filed under: uncultured bacterium
Lineage: Bacteria
Description: partial 16S ribosomal RNA
Rfam family: Bacterial small subunit ribosomal RNA
Source: RNAcentral
AGUGAACGCUGGCGGUAGGCCUAACACAUGCAAGUCGAACGGCAGCACAGUAAGAGCUUGCUCUUACGGGUGGCGAGUGGCGGACGGGUGAGGAAUACAUCGGAAUCUACUUUUUCGUGGGGGAUAACGUAGGGAAACUUACGCUAAUACCGCAUACGACCUACGGGUGAAAGCAGGGGAUCUUCGGACCUUGCGCGAUUGAAUGAGCCGAUGUCGGAUUAGCUAGUUGGCGGGGUAAAGGCCCACCAAGGCGACGAUCCGUAGCUGGUCUGAGAGGAUGAUCAGCCACACUGGAACUGAGACGCGGUCCAGACUCCUACGGGAGGCAGCAGUGGGGAAUAUUGGACAAUGGGCGCAAGCCUGAUCCAGCCAUACCGCGUGGGUGAAGAAGGCCUUCGGGUUGUAAAGCCCUUUUGUCGGGAAAGAAAAGCAGCAGGUUAAUACCCCGCUGUUCCGACGGUACCCAAAGAAUAAGCACCGGCUAACUUCGUG